UACGUAGGGUGCAAGCGUUGUCCGGAAUUAUUGGGCGUAAAGAGCUCGUAGGCGGUUUGUCGCGUCUGCUGUGAAAACUCGGGGCUUAACUCCGGGCCUGCAGUGGGUACGGGCAGACUAGAGUGCGGUAGGGGAGACUGGAAUUCCUGGUGUAGCGGUGAAAUGCGCAGAUAUCAGGAGGAACACCGGUGGCGAAGGCGGGUCUCUGGGCCAUAACUGACGCUGAGGCGCGAAAGCGUGGGGAGCAAACAGG
RNAcentral lists this ribosomal RNA (253 nucleotides) under uncultured bacterium. Its description in RNAcentral is "partial 16S ribosomal RNA". It matches the Rfam family "Bacterial small subunit ribosomal RNA", at positions 524 to 776 of the family's 1533-position model. The record is from RNAcentral.